ACAGUGGACGCGAGCAUCUGUGGCCAAGUUUUUAAGGGCGCACGGUGGAUGCCUUGGCACCAGGAACCGA
This 70-nucleotide ribosomal RNA is filed under the name Candidatus Streptomyces philanthi. Its description in RNAcentral is "partial 23S ribosomal RNA". Lineage: Bacteria; Bacillati; Actinomycetota; Actinomycetes; Kitasatosporales; Streptomycetaceae. The record is from RNAcentral. RNAcentral also lists the same sequence under 3 other names.